This 28-nucleotide ribosomal RNA is filed under the name Globodera rostochiensis. RNAcentral describes it as "partial 18S ribosomal RNA". Lineage: Eukaryota; Metazoa; Nematoda; Chromadorea; Rhabditida; Heteroderidae. The record is from RNAcentral.
UGUAGGUGAACCUGCUGCUGGAUCAUUA